AGGGGUGUAGUUAAGUAUAACAUUUGAUUUGCAUUCAAAAAGUAUUGUUUCAAUCUUCCUUA
This 62-nucleotide transfer RNA is filed under the name Ctenochauliodes yangi. Its description in RNAcentral is "tRNA-Ala". It matches the Rfam family "tRNA". From Rfam's summary of the family: Transfer RNA (tRNA) molecules are approximately 80 nucleotides in length. Their secondary structure includes four short double-helical elements and three loops (D, anti-codon, and T loops). Lineage: Eukaryota; Metazoa; Arthropoda; Insecta; Megaloptera; Corydalidae. The record is from RNAcentral.